RNAcentral lists this ribosomal RNA (267 nucleotides) under uncultured bacterium. RNAcentral describes it as "partial 16S ribosomal RNA". It matches the Rfam family "Bacterial small subunit ribosomal RNA", at positions 525 to 795 of the family's 1533-position model. The record is from RNAcentral.
ACAGAGGGCUCAAGCGUUAAUCGGAAUCACUGGGCUUAAAGGGUCCGCAGGCGGAUUGGAAAGUAUCUUGUGAAAUACCACGGCUCAACCGUGGAACUGCUCGGUAAACUUCCAAUCUUGAACACGGUAGGGGCCAUCGAAACUGUGGUGAGCGGUGAAAUGCGUAGAUAUCUAGAGGAACGCCAGAGGCGAAGGCGGAUGGCUGGGCCGUUGUUGACGCUCAGGGACGAAAGCAUGGGUAGCGAACGGGAUUAGAUACCCCGUGUC